This is a long non-coding RNA of Pseudoliparis swirei, 554 nucleotides long. RefSeq lists it as uncharacterized. The record is from RefSeq and is a predicted model, not a curated record. Lineage: Eukaryota; Metazoa; Chordata; Actinopteri; Perciformes; Liparidae. The transcript is spliced from 3 exons.
AAAAGAGGAAGCUCACAAUGGAGGCGGACAUGGAUCUCCCCAAUUAAACCACAGCAUGUUGUUACUGUAAAUUAGACGGUUACUUUCUCUGUCGUAGGAAGUAAACCAAGUCUGUCGUGUUGCCUUCACGUACGGCCGGAUUUUAAAAGUACAAUCGACGAGUACGGAAGCUCUAGGCGGUUAGGAUUUAGAAAGCGGGUGCUGAGUUGACACAUAAACUAUGAUGGAUGAAUAAAUGUGUAUGUGACGGAAGUUAAAAAGCCAAAUUCGUUUGAAGAAUAUGCUAAAAAUACGGCAUUCUUUACCGCUAAAAUCUCGGAGCUUUAUAAGAGCACCUGAAUGCGUCGCCAGCUCCCUGCUGGUCAGUCGCUCCUCUGCUGUAAACACACGGUGAGCUUCAACUCCAGUUGGAUCCGACCAGAACCCGAGGAGAACUACGGAGAACAGCGAUGCAUUGAGUGAGCAUCGCCAGAGAAAAAGGAGGGACCGAGAACUGUAUUUUCUUCAAAGUCGGACAAGAACCUGGUUCGGCGCCCAUGUUUAUGCGUUUUGUG